This 420-nucleotide ribosomal RNA is filed under the name uncultured bacterium. Its description in RNAcentral is "partial 16S ribosomal RNA". It matches the Rfam family "Bacterial small subunit ribosomal RNA", at positions 360 to 772 of the family's 1533-position model. The record is from RNAcentral.
AAUAUUGGACAAUGGGCGCAAGCCUGAUCCAGCCAUACCGCGUGGGUGAAGAAGGCCUNCGGGUUNUNAAGCCCUUUUGUUGGGANAGAAAUCCAGCUGGCUAAUACCCGGUUGGGAUGACGGUACCCACAGAAUCAGCACCGGCUAAUUUCGUGCCAGCAGCAGCGGUAAUACGAAGGGUGCAAGCGUUACUCGGAAUUACUGGGCGUAAAGCGUGCGUAGGUGGUCGUUUAAGUCCGUUAUGAAAGCCCUGGGAUCAACCUGGGAACUGCAGUAGAUACUGGGCGACUAGAAUGUGGUAGAGGGUAGCGGAAUUCCUGGUGUAGCAGUGAAAUGCGUAGAGAUCAGGAGGAACAUCCAUGGCGAAGGCAGCUACCUGGACCAACAUUGACACUGAGGCACGAAAGCGUGGGGAGCAAA